CCAUCCAUCACAACUCAGUCAGCCAAUUCCUCCUAUAUUUUAGAAGAUGUGUAUGCUGAUCUAAUGGCCCAUGAGGGCAUCCUUCAACCUAAAUCUCAAAACUCUAAUGAUCAGCCAUUUCCUAUAGCCAAUGCUGCUGUCCAUUCCAGCAAGUCGAAUAAGAAGAAUGGAGGUUCUUCUACCUUCUACAAGCAACAGCAAUAUGACUCUAGGUCUUGUCAGGGACAGGGUCGUGGCCACAGCAAGGGAUGCAGCAACCAGAGGUCCUACCGCUUUAUACACCA
Molecule: long non-coding RNA, 284 nt
Filed under: Elaeis guineensis (African oil palm)
Lineage: Eukaryota; Viridiplantae; Streptophyta; Magnoliopsida; Arecales; Arecaceae
Description: long non-coding RNA (EGUI_LNC040179)
Source: RNAcentral